GUGAGGAAUAUUGGUCAAUGGGCGAGAGCCUGAACCAGCCAAAUCGCGUGAAGGAUGAAGGUAUUAUGUAUUGUAAACUUCUUUUAUCGGGGAAUAAAGUGCGGGACGUGUCCCGUUUUGUAUGUACCCGAAGAAUAAGGAUCGGCUAACUCCGUGCCAGCAGCCGCGGUAAUACGGAGGAUCCAAGCGUUAUCCGGAUUUAUUGGGCUUAAAGGGUGCGUAGGCGGACUGUCAAGUCAGCGGUGAAAGUCCAUGGCUCAACCAUGGAAUUGCCGUGAAAACGGUCGGUCUUGAGUGUAGAUGAGGUAGGCGGAAUUCGUAGUGUAGCGGUGAAAUGCUUAGAUAUUACGAAGAACUCCAAUUGCGUAGGCAGCUUACCAGGCUACAACUGACGCUGAGGCACGAAGGUGCGGGGAUCAAACAGGAUUAGAAACCCGGGUAGUCC
RNAcentral lists this ribosomal RNA (445 nucleotides) under uncultured bacterium. Its description in RNAcentral is "partial 16S ribosomal RNA". It matches the Rfam family "Bacterial small subunit ribosomal RNA", at positions 354 to 796 of the family's 1533-position model. The record is from RNAcentral.